UUCUUAUCAAGAGCAGGUGGAGGGACUAGCCCUAUGAAGCCCGGCAACCGACUUAAACAUGUGUUUGAGCACGGUGCUAAUUCUUGCAGCAUUCGCUGAUAGAUAAGGA
The sequence is a regulatory RNA element, 109 nucleotides long. It matches the Rfam family "SAM riboswitch aptamer (S box leader)". Rfam says of the family: The SAM riboswitch is found upstream of a number of genes which code for proteins involved in methionine or cysteine biosynthesis in Gram-positive bacteria. The SAM riboswitch acts at the level of transcription termination control. The record is from Rfam.